GUUCGAUCCCGGCCUAGAUUGAACGCUGGCGGGAUGCUUUACACAUGCAAGUCGAACGGCAGCACGGACUUCGGUCUGGUGGCGAGUGGCGAACGGGUGAGUAAUGUAUCGGAACGUGCCUAGUAGCGGGGGAUAACUACGCGAAGUUGUAGCCACACCGCAUAUUGGCCCUUCGGGGAAAGCGGGGACCUUCGGGCCUCGCACUAUUAGAGCGGCCGAUAUCGGAUUAGCUAGUUGGUGGGUAACGGCUCACCAAUAUGACGAUCCGUAGCUGGUUUGAGAGGACGACCAGCCACACUGGGACUGAGACAUCGGCCCAGACUUUCACGUGAGGCAGGGAAUUUUGGACAAUGGGGGAAACCCUGAUCCAGCCAUCCCGCGUGUGCGAUGAAGGCCGGGUUGUAAAGCACUUUUGGCAGGAAGAAACGGCACGGGAUAAUACCCCGUGCAACUGACGGUACCUGCAGAAUAAGCACCGGCUAACUACGUGCCAGCAGCUCGGCGGUAAUACGUAGGGUGCAAGCGUUAAUCGGAAUUACUGGGCGUAAAGCGUGGCGCAGGCGGUUCUGAAAGAAAGAUAAAAUCCUGAGCUUUAACUUUGAACUGCAUUUUUAACUACCGAGCUAGAGUGUGUCAGAGGGAGGUGGAAUUCCCGUGUGGAAGAAUGAAAUGCGUAGAUAUGCGGAGGAACACCGAUGGCGAAGGCAGCCUCCUGGGAUAACACUGACGUUCAUGCACGAAAGCGGGGAGCAACAGGAUUAGAUACCCCGGUAGUCCACGCCCUAAACGAUGUCAACUAGCUGUUGGGGCCUUUCGGCCCGGUAGCGCAGCUAACGCGUGAAGUUGACCGCCUGUAGAGUACGGUCGCAAGAUUUAAAACUCAAAGGAAUUGAUUUGGACCCGCAACAAGCGGGUGGAUGAUGUGGAUUAAUUGAUGCAACGCGAAAACCUUACCUACCUUUGACAUGUCUGAAUCCUGAAGAGAUUUGGGAGUGCUCGUAAGAGAACCGAACACAGGUGCUGCAUGGCUGUCGUCAGCUCGUGUCGUGAGAUGCUGUUGCAAGUCCCGUAACGAAACGCAACUCCUUGUCAUUAGUUGCUACGAAAGGGCACCUAAUGAGAACUGCCGGUGACAAACCGGAGGAAAAGGUGGGACACGUCAAGUCCUCAUGGCCCUUAUGGGUAGGCUUCACACGUCAUACAAUGGUCGGGACAGAGGGUCGCCAACCCGCGAAAGCUAAUCCCAGAAACCCGAUCGUGGUCCGGAUCGCAGUCUGCAACUCGACUGCGUGAAGUCGGAAUCGCUAGUAAUCGCGGAUCAGCAUGUCGCGGUGAAUACGUUCCCGGGUCUUGUACACACCGCCCGUCACACCAUGGGAGUGGGUUUUACCAGAAGUAGUUAGCCUAACCGUAAGGAGGCGAUUACUAUCGUAGAUUCAUGACUGGGGUGUCGCACAAGGUAG
Molecule: ribosomal RNA, 1463 nt
Filed under: uncultured Bordetella sp.
Lineage: Bacteria; Pseudomonadati; Pseudomonadota; Betaproteobacteria; Burkholderiales; Alcaligenaceae
Description: partial 16S-23S ribosomal RNA intergenic spacer
Rfam family: Bacterial small subunit ribosomal RNA
Source: RNAcentral